CAGCAGCCGCGGGAAUACAGAGGGUGCAAGCGUUAAUCGGAAUUACUGGGCGUAAAGCGCGCGUAGGUGGUUUGUUAAGUUGGAUGUGAAAGCCCCGGGCUCAACCUGGGAACUGCAUCCAAAACUGGCAAGCUAGAGUACGGUAGAGGGUGGUGGAAUUUCCUGUGUAGCGGUGAAAUGCGUAGAUAUAGGAAGGAACACCAGUGGCGAAGGCGACCACCUGGACUGAUACUGACACUGAGGUGCGAAAGCGUGGGGAGCAAACAGGAUUAGAUACCCCAGUAGUCCCUGUCUCUUAUAA
RNAcentral lists this ribosomal RNA (301 nucleotides) under uncultured bacterium. RNAcentral's name for it is "partial 16S ribosomal RNA". It matches the Rfam family "Bacterial small subunit ribosomal RNA", at positions 509 to 809 of the family's 1533-position model. The record is from RNAcentral.